This 479-nucleotide ribosomal RNA is filed under the name uncultured bacterium. RNAcentral describes it as "bacterial SSU rRNA". It matches the Rfam family "Bacterial small subunit ribosomal RNA", at positions 328 to 793 of the family's 1533-position model. The record is from RNAcentral.
UGACAGUACUCCUACGGGGAGGCAGCAGUGGGGGAAUAUUGCACAAUGGGCGCAAGCCUGAUGCAGCCAUGCCGCGUGUGUGAAGAAGGCCUUCGGGUUGUAAAGCACUUUCAGUCGUGAGGAAGGUAGUGUAGUUAAUAGCUGCAUUAUUUGACGUUUAGCGACAGAAGAAGCACCGGCUAACUCCGUGCCAGCAGCCGCGGUAAUACGGAGGGUGCGAGCGUUAAUCGGAAUUACUGGGCGUAAAGCGCAUGCAGGUGGUUUGUUAAGUCAGAUGUGAAAGCCCGGGGCUCAACCUCGGAAUAGCAUUUGAAACUGGCAGACUAGAGUACUGUAGAGGGGGGUAGGAAUUUCAGGUGUAGCGGUGAAAUGCGUAGAGAUCUGAAGGAAUACCGGUGGCGAAGGCGGCCCCCUCGGACAGAUACUGACACUCAGAUGCGAAAGCGUGGGGAGCAAACAGGAUUAGAUACCCCUGGUAG